UUUGACAAUCAAAAUGAAACAGUUGGUCAGUUUGUAAUAUGGGGAAUAAACAUCACAGUAAAAAAAAAAAAUAGAGUUUCAAAACUUGGAAAGAUCUUUCUGUCCAGUCCGUGGAUGACUAAAUUUCUUCCAUCAGUUUACACAGUAGUAUUCAUUGUGGCACUGCCACUAAAUAUAAUGGCAAUCAUCAUCUUCCUCGUCAAGAUGAAGGUCAGAAAGCCGGCCGUGGUCUAUAUGUUGAACCUGGCAGUUGCUGAUGUAUUGUUUGCUUGUACAUUACCUUUCAAAAUAAUUUAUCAUUUCUCUGGAAACAACUGGAUCUUUGGCUCUGGAAUGUGCAGUUUUGUUACAGAGACCUUUUACUGUAACAUGUACUGCUCCAUUCUGCUCAUUACGGCUAUCAGCGUGGACAGGUUCCUGGGAGUGGUCUUUCCGAUCCAAUCUCUGUCCUGGCGCACUGUGCGUCGUUCCUGGAUGGUCUGCAUUCUAAUCUGGGUGAUAUCCAUAGCUAGUACUGUUCCGUUGUUCACAACCGAGCAACCGAAACACAUUGCCGAAUUGAAUAUCACCACCUGUCACG
Molecule: non-coding RNA, 580 nt
Organism: Pelobates cultripes (western spadefoot toad)
Lineage: Eukaryota; Metazoa; Chordata; Amphibia; Anura; Pelobatidae
Source: the annotation of a GenBank genome assembly